UACGGAGGGUGCGAGCGUUAAUCGGAAUUACUGAGCGUAAAGCGCGCGUAGGCGGCGUGAUAGGCCGGUUGUGAAAGCCCCGGGCUCAACCUGGGAACGGCAUCCGGAACUGUCAGGCUAGAGUGCAGGAGAGGAAGGUAGAAUUCCCGGUGUAACGGUGAAAUGCGUAGAGAUCGGAAGGAAUACCAGUGACGAAGGCAGCCUUCUGGACUGACACUGACGCUGAGGUGCGAAAGCGUGGGUAGCAAACAGG
RNAcentral lists this unclassified non-coding RNA (253 nucleotides) under uncultured Halomonadaceae bacterium. RNAcentral's name for it is "contains 16S-23S intergenic spacer region". It matches the Rfam family "Bacterial small subunit ribosomal RNA", at positions 524 to 776 of the family's 1533-position model. Lineage: Bacteria; Pseudomonadati; Pseudomonadota; Gammaproteobacteria; Oceanospirillales; Halomonadaceae. The record is from RNAcentral.